UAAGACAGAAGCAGCUCUCAGAAGCCAUCACAGUAAGUUCCUGCGCUCAUUUACAGAAGAUGUGGAAGAGGAGAGAGAACCAACCCCCACAGGCCCUCUUUUAAAAAAACCCUAUCCCCAUCUUUACCUUUGGGCCCCUGGGUUUAGACCCCCUAACAAAGAGAAAAAACUUCGCGCCCCUUACCUCCUCCGUGGUUCGGGCUCCAAAAAGCUAUUGUCUACCGCCCUGAGAGGGUGCGGCGCCCACUGGGUUUGAGACACGGCCAGUCCCCCCCGAGGCACCAAUAGGGACAUUUUCGCAAUAUUCUGAAAUUGCGCGACAACCCCGCGCGAGAAAAAAAAGUUUUCAGAAAUAUAAAUCUCUUUUGUAAGAAAAAACCAGUGAGAGAGUGGCAGGGGAAAAGUGUGGAGGUAUCUUUCCAGAAAGGGACGGCUAUCUGCGUCCCCACAGGCGCGGAAAAUACGUGGGGGGGAGAGCGUUAUCCCAGUUUUUUUGGGUAUAAAGAGAGCACACGGGUUUUUCUAUCUCUGAUGUAAAACGUCUCGGCUUCCCGAGAGAAGCAUCUCGGAAACUGGAUCUUGAGAGCAGAAAAGAGUAGUGGGGCACCCCAUGUGUCGCGGUGGAAUGCGGAGAUAUGGGAGAGAACACCAGUGGAAGGCGGCGCUACCUUGUCUGCAACUGACGCUGAGUCUCGAAAGCAUGUGUAGCGCACAGG
RNAcentral lists this ribosomal RNA (716 nucleotides) under uncultured Streptococcus sp. RNAcentral describes it as "partial 16S ribosomal RNA". It matches the Rfam family "Bacterial small subunit ribosomal RNA", at positions 202 to 776 of the family's 1533-position model. The record is from RNAcentral. Lineage: Bacteria; Bacillati; Bacillota; Bacilli; Lactobacillales; Streptococcaceae.